ACCAAUCUCAGUUCGGAUUGUAGGCUGCAACUCGCCUACAUGAAGUUGGAAUCGCUAGUAAUCGCGAAUCAGAAUGUCGCGGUGAAUACGUUCCCGGGUCUUGUACACACCGCCCGUCACACCACGAGAGUUUACAACACCCGAAGUCAGUGGCCUAACCGCAAGGAGGGAGCUGCCUAAGGUGGGGGUAGAUGAUUGGGGUGAAGUCGUAACAAGGUAUC
This 221-nucleotide ribosomal RNA is filed under the name uncultured bacterium. RNAcentral describes it as "partial 16S ribosomal RNA". It matches the Rfam family "Bacterial small subunit ribosomal RNA", at positions 1281 to 1500 of the family's 1533-position model. The record is from RNAcentral.